Molecule: ribosomal RNA, 457 nt
Filed under: uncultured bacterium
Lineage: Bacteria
Description: bacterial SSU rRNA
Rfam family: Bacterial small subunit ribosomal RNA
Source: RNAcentral
CGUCUACGAGUUUGAUCCUGGCUCAGAACGAACGCUGGCGGCAGGCCUAACACAUGCAAGUCGAGCGCCCCGCAAGGGGAGCGGCGGACGGGUGAGUAACGCGUGGGAACGUACCCUUUGCUACGGAAUAGCCUCGGGAAACUGGGAGUAAUACCGUAUGUGCCCUUCGGGGGAAAGAUUUAUCGGCAAAGGAUCGGCCCGCGUUGGAUUAGGUAGUUGGUGGGGUAAUGGCCUACCAAGCCGACGAUCCAUAGCUGGUUUGAGAGGAUGAUCAGCCACACUGGGACUGAGACACGGCCCAGACUCCUACGGGAGGCAGCAGUGGGGAAUCUUAGACAAUGGGCGCAAGCCUGAUCUAGCCAUGCCGCGUGAGCGAUGAAGGCCUUAGGGUUGUAAAGCUCUUUCAGUGGGGAAGAUAAUGGCUGUACCCACAGAAGAAGCCCCGGCUAACUCCGUG